RNA transcript from Fragaria vesca subsp. vesca, 4017 nucleotides. RefSeq lists it as uncharacterized. The record is from RefSeq and is a predicted model, not a curated record. The transcript has 17 exons. Lineage: Eukaryota; Viridiplantae; Streptophyta; Magnoliopsida; Rosales; Rosaceae.
AUGGAGACGCCUAAUUCCAUGGAGAUGCCUCUUCACGGAUCCGCUUCUCUUCCAAAUAAAUUCAUGGGACCUAAUUUCAUCAAGAGAGAGAGAUCAUUCCUUCAGUCUCCCACUUAUGGAAACCUCGUCACUGUUCUUAGCAUCGAUGGAGGUGGAAUCAGAGGAAUUAUCCCCGGCACUCUUCUCAAUGGUGAGGAUGAAAGACUGGCAGAUUACUUUGACGUCAUUGCAGGAACUAGCACCGGUGGUCUAGUGACUGCCAUGCUUACAGCCCCGGAUGAAAACGGCCGUCCAUUAUUUGCUGCUAAAGAUAUCAACAAAUUUUACCUUGACCACUGCCCUAAUAUAUUCCCCCAAGAUAAUUGCAAUAUUGAUUGUCUUCCCUUCACUCCUGUAACUGAUGCGAUGGCAGUGGUAAAAGCUUUCAGAGGGCCAAAGUAUGAUGGGGACUAUUUACAUAAAAUAGUGAGGGAAAAAUUAGGAGAAAUCAGAUUGCAUCAGACAUUGACUAACGUCAUAAUUCCCACUUUUGAUAUAAAGAGGCUCCAACCAACCAUCUUCUCCAGCUAUGAGGUGAGGAAGAACAGUAGCCUAGAUGCUUUACUCUCGGAUAUAUGCAUUGCAACUUCAGCAGCCCCAACCUAUCUUCCAGCCCAUCAUUUUGAAACCGAAGAUUCCACAACCGGUCAAAUAAGAGAAUUUGAUCUCAUUGAUGGUGGUGUUGCUGCUAAUAACCCGGCACUGGUGGCUGUGAGUGAAGUGUCAAAAGAAACUUUCACGGGAAAUCCCGACUUUUUUACAAUGAAGCCAACAUAAUAUGCCCGGUUUCUAGGUGUAUCAUUGGGUACUGGGUCAGCAAAAUGUGAUGAGAAGUACGAUGCCCAAAAUGCAGCUAAGUGGGGUAUUCUGGGAUGGUUGAUCAGAGGCGGCGGCGGUUCCUGUCCGUUGCUUGAUAUAUUUACUCAAGCAAGUAGUGACAUGGUUGAUUUCCACCUUUCUACAGUAUUUCAAGUUCUGAGAAAAAUUACCUAAGAAUCCAGGAUGAUGAUUUGGGCAAGACAUUGUGUUCUGUGGACAUUGCUACAAAAGAGAACUUGCAAAAUCUUGUAAAAGUUGGAGAAAACUUGUUAAAGAAAGCAGUUUCCCAAGUGAACUUGGAAACCGGUAUCCAUGAGCCUGCCCAUCAUUCUACCAAUGAAGAGGCUCUAGCAAGGGUUGCUGGAAUUUUGUCCAAGAAAAAGAGAGUCCGUGAAAUGAGAUCGCCACAGGGAAAGAAGGCCACAACAAUAGCCAGCUCCAAAUUGUCAUUAAUUGUGGACUAUGAAGUUUAUGAAUUCUUACUCGAUGUUUCUCCGUACGCGAGAGUACUUAAUGAAGUCUUACUCGAUGUUUCCAUUGCAAUCCGGAGCCGUGCAAUGGAAAAGCUGAAGCGCAAGCCGAGCAGUUUGAGUUUGACAGAUAGUAUUUCUUGGGUUUACUCUACGAAAACUGGGGAGCUAUACAUAACUCAAAAGGCAGUGGAGAAGAAAGAGGGGUGUGAAGAUGAAGAAGAUGAUGAAAAGGAGGAGUUAUCAGUGGCAAGUUGCUUCUCUUGCUGCUCAUCUAGUGCUGCUGCAAGUAGGGAUGUGUUUCUCUCUGUCAAGACUAGUCUUUCAAGAUGUUCGAGCCUUGAUGGUUUUGAAUUCAACUUCAACGACUUUCAGACGAGGCAGUCCAUAAUUCAACAGCUGUGCCAUUGUGAGGGUUGGCCGUUUGCCGGAAGGCUGUGUUGCUUCCGCCUCUGCCCAAGUAAUACCCAAACUGAUACAGUAAGCAUUCCAAGGUUUAUAUCAGUACCUUUCCCCACUCAGAACCUAUGCCGCUACACCUCAUCUUCAAGUAUAUCAGCCUGGUUCCCAACUCAGUCUCCACCUUCUUCCGCAAGAGGAUUGGACUCGAUAGGUGCUGCAGGAACAGACUCGAUAUUGUCUGUAGGAAUGGACUCGAUAGGGAUAGAUUUUGGAACUGAUUUGAUAGGAGAGUUUUCUGGUGUUUAUAUAGGAAUAAAAGAGGAUGUAGGUGGAAGCAGAUUAACAUUGGAGCCCGAAGAAACCCUAUCAACUAAACCCGAGAAGCUGGAUGGUGAAGAUGCAAGACUGGCAGAUUACUUUGAUGUUAUCGCAGGCACCAGCACAGGUGGUCUUGUCACUGCUAUGCUUACUGCCCCAGAUGAAAAUAACCGUCCCCUAUUUGCUGCUAAAGAUAUUAACGAUUUUUAUCUUGAACACUGCCCUAAGAUCUUCCCCCAAGACAGGGUGAACAUGGAAACUGGUAUGUUUGAGCCUGCCCAUCAGUCUACAAAUGAAGAGGCUCUCGUAAGGGUAGCGGGAAUUCUGUCUAGAGAGAGGAGGGUUCGUGAAAUAAGAUCACCCCAUGGGAAGGCUGCAGGCGCCGCAGCAGCUACUACUAUGGAAGACAAUCAUGAUGUCGAGAUUAAUCCUUUUGGUGGAGGUGGAGCUCGAAUGGCAAGAACAACAGUGCAGAAUGCAAAGUUUGAAGUGGAAAAAUUUGAUGGAACAAAUAAUUUCAGUAUGUGGCAAUGUGAAGUCAGAGAUGUCUUGGCUCAGCAGGACUUGGAUAUGACUUUAGAGGAUAUGCCUGAAGAUAUGGAUGAAGCAGAAUGGAUAAGGUUGAAUCGGGUUGCUUGCUCGUCGAUUCGGUUGUGUCUCGCUAAAGCCCAGAAGUAUUCUGUGAUGAGAGAGACGUCGGCGAAGAUGUUAUGGCAGAAACUGGAAGAUAAGUAUAUGACAAAGAGCAUAGAGAAUCGUCUACACUUAAAGAAGAAGUUGUAUCGGUUCCAGUUUAAAGGUACAAAGAUGAUUCAACACCUUGAUGCUUUUAACAAGUUAAUUGCUGAUUUGUUAAACUUGGAUGAAGAAAUCAAGGAUGAAGAUAAAGCUUUACUGUUGUUGAAUUCUUUGCCUGAUGCAUAUGACCAUUUAGCUACUACUUUGUUGUAUGGUAAAGACACUAUCAAGUUUGAUGAAGUGUCUAAUGCAUUGAUGAAUUAUGAGGUGAGGCAUAAGGAUAAAUAUGAUAGUACUUCUAGUACUUCAGAGGCUUUGGUUGUGAGAGGUAGAUCACUUGAAAGGAAAAGAUUUGGUGGCAGGAAGAAAUCUGGUUUAAGAGGAACUUCGAAGGACAAGAAGAGAUUAGGAAGAGAUGAAUGUGCCUUUUGCCAUAAUAAAGGACAUUGGAAGAAUGAUUGUCCAAAGCUUCGAAACAAGGGUGCAAGUUCUAGUGCUAAUGUGGUACUUGCUGAGAAUGAACCUGAUUAUGCUUUGUGUGUGUCUCCCAUCAAUGACAAAGACAAGUGGAUAAUGGAUUGUGCUUGUACUGAGCAUAUGACUCCAAGAAAGGACUGGUUUACCACUUUGGAUACAAAUGUGAGUGGAGAUGUUAUAACAUGUGAUGAUUAUGGCUUGGAGAGUGAUAGAACUCUAGUGAUAUCACUGGGUACUGGUUCGGCGAAAUGCGAGGAGAAGUAUGAGGCCACAGAUGCAGCUAGGUGGGGCGUUUUGGGGUGGCUAACCGGAGGCGGUUCAUGUCCACUGGUUGACGUUUUUACUCAAGCCAGUAGUGACAUGGUUGACUAUCACCUCUCUACUGUCUUCCAAGCUCUUCAUUCUGAAAAAAACUACCUUCGGAUUCAAGACGAUACGCUGGAGGAAACAGUGUGUUCAGUUGACAUUGCUACGCAUGAAAACUUGAACAAUCUUGUAAAAGUUGGAGAGGAAUUGUUAAAGAAACCGGUUUCCAGGGUGAACAUGGAAACUGGUAUGUUUGAGCCUGCCCAUCAGUCUACAAAUGAAGAGGCUCUCGUAAGGGUAGCGGGAAUUCUGUCUAGAGAGAGGAGGGUUCGUGAAAUGAGAUCACCCCAUGGGAAGGCUGCAGGCGCCGCAGCAGCUACUACUGUUUGAUACGUAAAAGUUAAUUCUGCUACAGUGCUACUGAUCGAUGAUACAUUAUUAUUAGUUA